CCUACGGGAGGCUGCAGUGAGGAAUCUUGGUCAAUGGGCGCGAGCCUGAACCAGCCACGUCGCGUGAAGGAUGACUGCCCUCCGGGCUGUAAGCUUCUUUUAUAAAGUAAUACAGUGAGGCACGUGUGCCUUUUUGACUGUACUGUAUUAUUAAGGAUCGGCUAACUCAGGCCCAGCAGCAGCGGUCAUACGGAUGCUUCGAUCGUUAUCGGUAUUUAUUGGGUUUAAGGGGAGCGUAGACGGGUUGUUAAGGACGGUGUGAAAGGUUGCGGCUCAACCGUAAGAAUGCAAUGGAUACUGGCUACCUUGAGUGCAGUUGAGGUAGGCGGAAUUCGUGGUGUAGCGGUGAAAUGCUUAGAUAUAUCGAAGAACUCCGAUGGCGAAGGCAGCUUACUAAACUGCCACUGACAUUGAUGCUCGAAAGUGUGGGUAUCAAACAGGAUUAGAUACCCGAGUAGUC
This 460-nucleotide ribosomal RNA is filed under the name uncultured bacterium. RNAcentral describes it as "partial 16S ribosomal RNA". It matches the Rfam family "Bacterial small subunit ribosomal RNA", at positions 338 to 795 of the family's 1533-position model. The record is from RNAcentral.